Molecule: ribosomal RNA, 942 nt
Filed under: Escherichia coli
Lineage: Bacteria; Pseudomonadati; Pseudomonadota; Gammaproteobacteria; Enterobacterales; Enterobacteriaceae
Description: bacterial SSU rRNA
Rfam family: Bacterial small subunit ribosomal RNA
Source: RNAcentral
CCGGGCUCAACCUGGGAACUGCAUCUGAUACUGGCAAGCUUGAGUCUCGUAGAGGGGGGUAGAAUUCCAGGUGUAGCGGUGAAAUGCGUAGAGAUCUGGAGGAAUACCGGUGGCGAAGGCGGCCCCCUGGACGAAGACUGACGCUCAGGUGCGAAAGCGUGGGGAGCAAACAGGAUUAGAUACCCUGGUAGUCCACGCCGUAAACGAUGUCGACUUGGAGGUUGUGCCCUUGAGGCGUGGCUUCCGGAGCUAACGCGUUAAGUCGACCGCCUGGGGAGUACGGCCGCAAGGUUAAAACUCAAAUGAAUUGACGGGGGCCCGCACAAGCGGUGGAGCAUGUGGUUUAAUUCGAUGCAACGCGAAGAACCUUACCUGGUCUUGACAUCCACGGAAGUUUUCAGAGAUGAGAAUGUGCCUUCGGGAACCGUGAGACAGGUGCUGCAUGGCUGUCGUCAGCUCGUGUUGUGAAAUGUUGGGUUAAGUCCCGCAACGAGCGCAACCCUUAUCCUUUGUUGCCAGCGGUCCGGCCGGGAACUCAAAGGAGACUGCCAGUGAUAAAUUGGAGGAAGGUGGGGAUGACGUCAAGUCAUCAUGGCCCUUACGACCAGGGCUACACACGUGCUACAAUGGCGCAUACAAAGAGAAGCGACCUCGCGAGAGCAAGCGGACCUCAUAAAGUGCGUCGUAGUCCGGAUUGGAGUCUGCAACUCGACUCCAUGAAGUCGGAAUCGCUAGUAAUCGUGGAUCAGAAUGCCACGGUGAAUACGUUCCCGGGCCUUGUACACACCGCCCGUCACACCAUGGGAGUGGGUUGCAAAAGAAGUAGGUAGCUUAACCUUCGGGAGGGCGCUUACCACUUUGUGAUUCAUGACUGGGGUGAAGUCGUAACAAGGUAACCGUAGGGGAACCUGCGGUUGGAUCACCUCCUUACCUUAAAGAAGC